This 340-nucleotide ribosomal RNA is filed under the name uncultured bacterium. RNAcentral describes it as "partial 16S ribosomal RNA". It matches the Rfam family "Bacterial small subunit ribosomal RNA", at positions 338 to 675 of the family's 1533-position model. The record is from RNAcentral.
CCUACGGGUGGCAGCAGUGAGGAAUAUUGGUCAAUGGGCGUAAGCCUGAACCAGCCAAGUCGCGUGAGGGAUGAAGGUUCUAUGGAUCGUAAACAUCUUUUAUAAGGGAAUAAAGUGUGGGACGUGUACUAUUUUGUAUGUACCUUAUGAAUAAGGAUCGGCUAACUCCGUGCCAGCAGCCGCGGUAAUACGGAGGAUGCGAGCUUUAUCCGGAUUUAUUGGGUUUAAAGGGUGCGUAGGCGGGCUGUUAAGUCAGCGGUGAAAGGCUGUGGCUCAACCCGAGAAAUGCCUUUGAUACUGGGGGGCUUGAGUCUGGUAGAGGCAGGUGGAAUGCGAGGUG